UCCCUGGUGGUCCAGUGGUUAAGAAACCCGCCUUCCAAUUCAGGGGACUCAGGUUCAAUCCCUGUCCAGGGAA
Molecule: transfer RNA, 73 nt
Filed under: Bos taurus (domestic cattle)
Lineage: Eukaryota; Metazoa; Chordata; Mammalia; Artiodactyla; Bovidae
Also listed under: 5 other names
Rfam family: tRNA
About the family: Transfer RNA (tRNA) molecules are approximately 80 nucleotides in length. Their secondary structure includes four short double-helical elements and three loops (D, anti-codon, and T loops).
Source: Rfam by way of RNAcentral